UACGUAGGGGGCAAGCGUUGUCCGGAAUCAUUGGGCGUAAAGCGCGUGUAGGCGGUUCGGUAAGUCUGCUGUGAAAGUCCAGGGCUCAACCCUGGAAUGCCGGUGGAAACUGUCGAGCUAGAGUCCGGAAGAGGCGAGUGGAAUUCCUGGUGUAGCGGUGAAAUGCGCAGAUAACGGAAGGAACACCUGUGGCGAAAGCGGCUCACUGGACCAUAACUGACGCUGAUGCACGAAAGCUAGGGGAGCAAACAGG
RNAcentral lists this ribosomal RNA (253 nucleotides) under uncultured prokaryote. RNAcentral's name for it is "partial 16S ribosomal RNA". It matches the Rfam family "Bacterial small subunit ribosomal RNA", at positions 524 to 776 of the family's 1533-position model. The record is from RNAcentral.